GCAGUCAUGGCCGAGUGGUUAAGGCGAUGGACUAGAAAUCUAUUGGGGUCUCCCCGCACAGGUUCAAAUGUUGUCGACUGCG
This 82-nucleotide transfer RNA is filed under the name Ixodes scapularis (black-legged tick). It matches the Rfam family "tRNA". From Rfam's summary of the family: Transfer RNA (tRNA) molecules are approximately 80 nucleotides in length. Their secondary structure includes four short double-helical elements and three loops (D, anti-codon, and T loops). Further hydrogen bonds mediate the characteristic L-shaped molecular structure. tRNAs have two regions of fundamental functional importance: the anti-codon, which is responsible for specific mRNA codon recognition, and the 3' end, to which the tRNAs corresponding amino acid is attached (by aminoacyl-tRNA synthetases). tRNAs cope with the degeneracy of the genetic code in two manners: having more than one tRNA (with a specific anti-codon) for a particular amino acid; and 'wobble' base-pairing, i.e. permitting non-standard base-pairing at the 3rd anti-codon position. Lineage: Eukaryota; Metazoa; Arthropoda; Arachnida; Ixodida; Ixodidae. The record is from Rfam by way of RNAcentral.